Molecule: ribosomal RNA, 253 nt
Filed under: uncultured bacterium
Lineage: Bacteria
Description: partial 16S ribosomal RNA
Rfam family: Bacterial small subunit ribosomal RNA
Source: RNAcentral
UACAGAGGUCCCAAGCGUUGUUCGGAUUCACUGGGCGUAAAGGGUGCGUAGGUGGUUGGGUAAGUCUGAUGUGAAAUCUCCGGGCUCAACCCGGAAAUGGCAUUGGAUACUAUUCGGCUAGAGGUUUGGAGGGGGGACUGGAAUUCUCGGUGUAGCAGUGAAAUGCGUAGAUAUCGAGAGGAACACCAGUGGCGAAGGCGAGUCCCUGGACAACACCUGACACUGAGGCACGAAAGCUAGGGGAGCAAACAGG